RNAcentral lists this ribosomal RNA (468 nucleotides) under uncultured bacterium. RNAcentral's name for it is "partial 16S ribosomal RNA". It matches the Rfam family "Bacterial small subunit ribosomal RNA", at positions 28 to 507 of the family's 1533-position model. The record is from RNAcentral.
GACGAACGCUGGCGGCGUGCUUAACACAUGCAAGUUGAACGGAAAGGCCCUGCUUUUGUGGGGUGCUCGAGUGGCGAACGGGUGAGUAACACGUGAGUAACCUGCCCUUGACUUUGGGAUAACUUCAGGAAACUGGGGCUAAUACCGGAUAGGAGCUCCUGCUGCAUGGUGGGGGUUGGAAAGUUUCGGCGGUUGGGGAUGGACUCGCGGCUUAUCAGCUUGUUGGUGGGGUAGUGGCUUACCAAGGCUUUGACGGGUAGCCGGCCUGAGAGGGUGACCGGCCACGUUGGGACUGAGAUACGGCCCAGACUCCUACGGGAGGCAGCAGUGGGGAAUAUUGCACAAUGGGCGGAAGCCUGAUGCAGCAACGCCGCGUGCGGGAUGACGGCCUUCGGGUUGUAAACCGCUUUCGCCUGUGACGAAGCGUGAGUGACGGUAAUGGGUAAAGAAGCACCGGCUAACUACGUG